Molecule: non-coding RNA, 66 nt
Organism: Podarcis lilfordi (Lilford's wall lizard)
Lineage: Eukaryota; Metazoa; Chordata; Lepidosauria; Squamata; Lacertidae
Source: the annotation of a GenBank genome assembly
GAGCUCAGCCGGUAGAGCAUGAUACUCUUAAUCUCAGCAUCAGGGGUUCAAGCCCCACAGUGGGCA